Molecule: long non-coding RNA, 667 nt
Filed under: Jatropha curcas
Lineage: Eukaryota; Viridiplantae; Streptophyta; Magnoliopsida; Malpighiales; Euphorbiaceae
Description: long non-coding RNA (JCUR_LNC002862)
Source: RNAcentral
AAAGAAACUAACACAAAAACUAAGGACAAAUGAAUUUACCCCAUAAGAUUAACCUUAUUGGUGGAGUAGUACAAUGUUUCAAAGAGGAGGACACACAAAACCAGGAGGUGGAUUCUUUCCACAAGUUAUUAAAACUUGAAGAGCAAGAGGAAUGAAAAUGUUGAUAUUAAGAAGCUUAAGCCUUAUAGUUGUGCAUAGACAAACUGCUGCUUCAAGCUCUAGCAAUCCUUUAAUUACGGGGCAGCAAACAUUCUCAACUGGAUUCCCUAAUCCAACAUGCACUAAUCCUCCUAAUACAUCAACACAAGCCCCUAGCUUAAGGGCGUUGAUUGGACAAGUGGGUUGAGUAGUAGGUGGAGGAUUAAGCCCCGGAACACCACCACCACCACCUCCUCCUCCUCCUCCUCCACCGCCUCCGCCACCGCCGCCGCCUCCGCCACCACCAGAUGGAGGGCUAGGCGUGUAUGGUGGGUAACCUGAAGAAGGCGGCGGUGUUAUUACAGGAGGAGGUGUUAUUAUUACAGGAGGGUUUACUACAGGAGGAGGAUUAAUGACUAUUGGUGGCAAAACCACUGGUGGGUUUUUUGUUGAAGGUGGUUUUGGGUGGCCGCCGUGGUGUGGUGGGUGCUUGGUGCUUGGUGGGUUAGGAUGAGGAACUUUUGGGUGG